Molecule: small RNA, 330 nt
Filed under: Drosophila yakuba
Lineage: Eukaryota; Metazoa; Arthropoda; Insecta; Diptera; Drosophilidae
Description: GE27745
Source: RNAcentral
CUGGCCCAACAUAGAUCGGCCACACUAAUACAGCAUUAAAUCGGUUGGGAUAUGCGGGCACACUAUCCGCUGCCAAACCGCUAUAUAAGGCGCACCCCAGCCCUCUAGAAGUCAUUCAGUUCGGCCGGCGAUCGGCAAAAAGACCUCCAGGAAGAGGAGCUACCAGGAGCAGGAUCAGAGGCAGUGGGGAAAUUAUCGGCGACGUGACGCGACGACCGAGUAAGCGGCCAUCUCGGGAGUCCAGCACCCACCCGUAUCCAUCGCAGAGCUAUACAACCCCUCCAGGGACGAGACCAGGCACGCCCGAAUAAAGACCCAAUUAUUGUAUCA